RNAcentral lists this ribosomal RNA (253 nucleotides) under uncultured bacterium. RNAcentral describes it as "partial 16S ribosomal RNA". It matches the Rfam family "Bacterial small subunit ribosomal RNA", at positions 524 to 776 of the family's 1533-position model. The record is from RNAcentral.
UACGUAGGUGGCAAGCGUUGUCCGGAAUUAUUGGGCGUAAAGCGCGCGCAGGCGGCCUUUUAAGUCUGAUGUGAAAUCUUACGGCUCACCCGUAAGCGGUCAUUGGAAACUGGAGGGCUUGAGUGCAGAAGAGGAAAGUGGAAUUCCACGUGUAGCGGUGAAAUGCGUAGAGAUGUGGAGGAACACCAGUGGCGAAGGCGACUUUCUGGUCUGUAACUGACGCUGAGGCGCGAAAGCGUGGGGAGCAAACAGG